AUGCCCAAGAGGAAGGUCAGCUCUGCUGAAGGGGCGGCCAAGGAAGAGCCCAAGAGGAGAUCGGCCAGGAUGUCGUCUAAACCGGCUCCUGCGUAGGUGGACGCCAAGCUCAAGAAGGCAGCUGGCAAGGAGAAGUCAUCGGACAAGAAGGUGCAGGCCAAGGGCAGGAGAGGAGCAAAGGGCAAACAGGCCGAGGUGGCCAGCCAGGAAACUAAGGAAGAUGUACCCGGGGAAAACGGAGACACUAAAAAUAAGGAGAGUCCCGCCUCUGACCAAGCCGAAGAGAAGGAAGCCAAGUCCGAAUAAGACCACACACCACCUCUUACCAGUGCUCCCUGUCUCUCUUCUGGUACGAUCCAGAGGAAUAUUUCUAUCAACUAUUUUAUAAAUGCUAGAUUUUUAGUGGCACUAGAAACAUUUUUAAGAAGGAGGGAAGCCCACUCAUCCCAAUUUUUCAAGUGUAAAUGAUUUUGUUUAAGAGGUGAAAUCAUUGCUGGUUGUUUAUUUUUUUGGUACAACCAGAAAAUAGUGGGAUACU
Molecule: RNA transcript, 538 nt
Organism: Ochotona princeps (American pika)
Lineage: Eukaryota; Metazoa; Chordata; Mammalia; Lagomorpha; Ochotonidae
Gene name: non-histone chromosomal protein HMG-14-like
Exons: 1
Source: RefSeq, a predicted model, not a curated record